GCCCCCGUAGCUCAGGUGGAUAGAGCACCGGCCUCCGGAGCCGGGUGCAGAGGUUCGAGUCCUCUCGGGGGUACCA
Molecule: transfer RNA, 76 nt
Filed under: Nitrospinota bacterium
Lineage: Bacteria; Pseudomonadati; Nitrospinota
Description: Nitrospinae bacterium tRNA-Arg
Rfam family: tRNA
About the family: Transfer RNA (tRNA) molecules are approximately 80 nucleotides in length. Their secondary structure includes four short double-helical elements and three loops (D, anti-codon, and T loops).
Source: RNAcentral